Long non-coding RNA from Chelonoidis abingdonii (Abingdon island giant tortoise), 443 nucleotides. RefSeq lists it as uncharacterized. The record is from RefSeq and is a predicted model, not a curated record. Lineage: Eukaryota; Metazoa; Chordata; Testudines; Testudinidae.
AUUACCUCAUGGCUGUGGGUUGUUGUAUGAGUAUGGAUGAUAAGUAUUUUGUUGCUCUGUAUGCUAGUUACUGGGCUGUCUGUCCCAGAGCGUAUGGACCUUUACAAACAUUGUCACUUCAAGAAUGAGUAAAAGGGAGAUUUCUGAGAUACCAGCAGCUCAAGUGACUCUACUGGAACUGUGGCAUUUAUCACAGACAAAAUUAGGAUGGAAGAGAGCAUAAAGGUACCAAACUAAAAAGGGAUCUACAUUUAUCCUUAAAAGAAAAACAUUCUCACUUUGCAAACUGGGGGUUAAUUCUGCUCUUUCACAUAAGGGAGAGAAGAGGCAAAGAGGAAGGAGUGACUAACACAAAUAGCACAGUGGUAAUUUGUAAUAGACAGCCUCACCCAGUCCCCAAAGAAGGUAAAAAGUGGACCAUUGGUUGUAGCAGUUGGUGACGC